This 108-nucleotide ribosomal RNA is filed under the name Candidatus Onthovivens merdipullorum. Lineage: Bacteria; Bacillati; Bacillota; Bacilli; Caryophanales. The record is from RNAcentral.
UCUGGUGAUUAUGGCGCAGUGGACACACCUCUAUCCAUCCCGAACAGAGAAGUUAAGCACUGUAGCGGCGAAGGUAGUCCGAUGGGCAAGAAUAGCAAGUCGCUGGGC